GUGGGGAAUUUUGCGCAAUGGGCGAAAGCCUGACGCAGCAACGCCGCGUGGAGGAUGAAGGCCUUCGGGUCGUAAACUCCUGUCAGGGGGGACGAAAGCCGCGCAAGCGGUUUGACUGUACCCUCUGAGGAAGCCACGGCUAACUCCGUGCCAGCAGCCGCGGUAAUACGGAGGUGGCAAGCGUUGUUCGGAAUUACUGGGCGUAAAGGGCGCGUAGGCGGCUUGGCAAGUCAGAUGUGAAAGCCCCGGGCUUAACUUGGGAAUUGCAUCUGAAACUGCUUUGCUUGAGUCCUGGAGGGGGUAGUGGAAUUCCCAGUGUAGCGGUGAAAUGCGUAGAUAUUGGGAGGAACACCUGCGGCGAAGGCGGCUACCUGGACAGUGACUGACGCUGAGGCGCGAAAGCUAGGGGAGCAAACGGGAUUAGAAACCCUUGUAGUCC
This 439-nucleotide ribosomal RNA is filed under the name uncultured bacterium. Its description in RNAcentral is "bacterial SSU rRNA". It matches the Rfam family "Bacterial small subunit ribosomal RNA", at positions 354 to 796 of the family's 1533-position model. The record is from RNAcentral.